This 273-nucleotide ribosomal RNA is filed under the name uncultured archaeon. RNAcentral describes it as "partial 16S ribosomal RNA". It matches the Rfam family "Archaeal small subunit ribosomal RNA", at positions 474 to 747 of the family's 1478-position model. The record is from RNAcentral.
UACCAGCACCCCGAGUGGUCGGGACGUUUAUUGGGCCUAAAGCAUCCGUAGCCGGUUCUACAAGUCUUCCGUUAAAUCCACCUGCUUAACAGAUGGGCUGCGGAAGAUACUAUAGAGCUAGGAGGCGGGAGAGGCAAGCGGUACUCGAUGGGUAGGGGUAAAAUCCGUUGAUCCAUUGAAGACCACCAGUGGCGAAGGCGGCUUGCCAGAACGCGCUCGACGGUGAGGGAUGAAAGCUGGGGGAGCAAACCGGAUUAGAAACCCCUGUAGUCC